GCGUCGGUGUUGCAACGGUUCAGCACGCGCUCCCAGAAAGAGCGAAAUGUGAGUUCGAAUCCCACCCGAUGGGAGCG
Parelaphostrongylus tenuis is the source of this 77-nucleotide non-coding RNA. The record is from the annotation of a GenBank genome assembly. Lineage: Eukaryota; Metazoa; Nematoda; Chromadorea; Rhabditida; Metastrongylidae.